GGGCUGUUAUCUCACUGUUCAGUGCUGUAAGAGUUUGUCUUCAGCUCUACAAUCCUCAAACUGUGUCCUGAGAGAGCUGGACCUGAGUAACAAUGACCUGCAGGAUUCAGGAGUGAAGCUUCUCUCUGAUGGACUGAAGAGUCAACACUGUAAACUGGAGACACUGAGAUUGGCCAUGUGUAAUCUCAGUGCUCAGUCCUGUGAGAGUUUGUCUUCAGCUCUACAAUCCUCAAACUGUGUCCUGAGAGAGCUGGACCUGAGUAACAAUGACCUGCAGGAUUCAGGAGUGAAGCUUCUCUCUGAUGGACUGAAGAGUCAACACUGUAAACUGGAGAGACUGAGAUUGGUCAUGUGUAAUCCCACUGUUCAG
Molecule: long non-coding RNA, 370 nt
Organism: Danio aesculapii
Lineage: Eukaryota; Metazoa; Chordata; Actinopteri; Cypriniformes; Danionidae
Exons: 3
Source: RefSeq, a predicted model, not a curated record